UACGGGGGGAGCAAGCGUUGUUCGGAUUUACUGGGCGUAAAGGGCGGGUAGGCGGCCACUGCAAGUCGGUUGUGAAAUCUCCGGGCUUAACUCGGAAAGGUCAAUCGAUACUGCAGGGCUAGAGUGCAGAAGGGGCAACUGGAAUUCUCGGUGUAGCGGUGAAAUGCGUAGAUAUCGAGAGGAACACCUGCGGCGAAGGCGGGUUGCUGGGCUGACACUGACGCUGAACUGCGAAAGCUAGGGGAGCGAACGGG
Molecule: ribosomal RNA, 254 nt
Filed under: uncultured bacterium
Lineage: Bacteria
Also listed under: 1 other name
Description: partial 16S ribosomal RNA
Rfam family: Bacterial small subunit ribosomal RNA
Source: RNAcentral